GCGUUGCAUACCUUAGUUCUGCAGUUUCUUGCCACUGAUUUCAAAUUCUGUGGUCUCAUCGUAGUGAUUAAUUUUUGUGAAAACAGACCAUGUCCCAGAUGAACUGUUCAUGCAGACUGCAUUUGACAAAGGGUUGCAGAGAUCCUGUUAGUACUUAUUCUUAUCGAUGGGUAAUAUGAGACCUGUAUUCUGUGUGCGUUUUUGUCAAAUUGAUUCAAAAGGUUGUCUCGUAUUUCUUUGUACUAGAAUGACUAAAGAAUGGAUACAACGUGAUGAGACGUGGAAUGUCAGAAGGAUAUGCUAACAAAGAAAAUAAGCAACAUUGAUGAUUUGUCACGACCUAGUGAAAUUUACUGCCAUCGUAGAAGAGACACUGCAACAAUAUUUAACUUAAUUUACACCAAUUGUUGGCGUUGUGAAGAGAGCUGUAGGAUGUAAAGCGAUUUAGGACCUGUUUAUUUCAGCUCUUCUUUACUUUUUUAUGCAAGGAGUAUUUCAGCUCUUCUUAAAUCCUAACCAUAGGCCGUGGAUAUAGAGAAGAAAUUUGGAGGGAGUUAGCUGCCUUCACCAUAGCAGGAAGAGAAUAUUGAUCAUCUCCAUGCCAAUGACAUUAUCAAGAUCCUGGAGCUCUUUUGCCAUUGCCUCAUUUGUAAGGGGAGGUGCUGCCGGAUUUUUGACCAUUUCGUGAGGAUUUCACUCAUUCAAGU
Setaria italica (foxtail millet) is the source of this 707-nucleotide long non-coding RNA. RefSeq lists it as uncharacterized. NCBI's taxonomy places the organism in Eukaryota, Viridiplantae, Streptophyta, Magnoliopsida, Poales, Poaceae. The record is from RefSeq and is a predicted model, not a curated record. The transcript has 3 exons.